GCGGAUUUAGCUCAGUUGGGAGAGCGCCAGACUGAAGAAGAUACUUCGGUCAAGUAAUCUGGAGGUCCUGUGUUCGAUCCACAGAAUUCGCA
Transfer RNA from Saccharomyces kudriavzevii IFO 1802, 92 nucleotides. It matches the Rfam family "tRNA". Rfam says of the family: Transfer RNA (tRNA) molecules are approximately 80 nucleotides in length. Lineage: Eukaryota; Fungi; Ascomycota; Saccharomycetes; Saccharomycetales; Saccharomycetaceae. The record is from Rfam.